AGCGAACGCUGGCGGCAGGCUUAACACAUGCAAGUCGAACGCCAUCUUCGGAUGGAGUGGCAGACGGGUGAGUAACGCGUGGGAACGUACCCUUUGGUUCGGAAUAUUCUCGGGAAACUGGGAGCAAUACCGGAUAAGCCCUACGGGGGAAAGAUUUAUCGCCAAAGGAGCGGCCCGCGUCAGAUUAGGUAGUUGGUGGGGUAAAGGCCUACCAAGCCUACGAUCUGUAGCUGGUCUGAGAGGAUGAUCAGCCACACUGGGACUGAGACACGGCCCAGACUCCUACGGGAGGCAGCAGUGGGGAAUUUUGGACAAUGGGCGAAAGCCUGAUCCAGCCAUGCCGCGUGAGUGAAGAAGGCCU
Molecule: ribosomal RNA, 361 nt
Filed under: uncultured bacterium
Lineage: Bacteria
Description: bacterial SSU rRNA
Rfam family: Bacterial small subunit ribosomal RNA
Source: RNAcentral